CCUACGGGGCGCUGCAGUGAGGAAUAUUGGUCAAUGGGCGGGAGCCUGAACCAGCCAAGUCGCGUGAGGGAUGACGGCCCUAUGGGUUGUAAACCUCUUUUUCCGGGGAGCAAAGUGACGCACGUGUUCGGUUUGGAGAGUACCCGGAGAAAAAGCAUCGGAUAACUCCGUGCCAGCAGCCGCGGUAAUACGGAGGAUGCGAGCGUUAUCCGGAUUUAAUGGGUUUAAGGGGUGCGUAGGCGGACGCUUAAGUCAGCGGGAAAAUGUCGGGGCUAAACCGCGUCGAGCCGUUGACACUGGGUGCCUUGAGUGGGCGAGAAGUUCGUGGAAUGCGUGGUGUAGCGGUGAAAGGCAUAGAUAUCACGCAGAACUCCAAUUGCGAAGGCAGCGUACCGGCGCCCAACUGACGCUGAGGCACGAAGGCGUGGGUAUCGAACAGGAUUAGAUACCCUUGUAGUC
Molecule: ribosomal RNA, 459 nt
Filed under: uncultured bacterium
Lineage: Bacteria
Description: partial 16S ribosomal RNA
Rfam family: Bacterial small subunit ribosomal RNA
Source: RNAcentral